AAUCCUCUCCGUCCGUCCUUCUGCUGGACCCGGUUCAUGGGCCUGUUGGGCCAAAUCCAGCUGGGACGUGGGAGUCGGGAAACGAGCAAAACGUUGCUCAAGUUUUUCUACGGUACACGAUAAACAGGCACAGGUGCCCAUCAACUGGAUUCAGGUCUCAUUCUCAACCUCUCUGAGUCAUGCAAAAUCCAUAUUGAGAAAAGUACGCGCUAAACACACAUUUAUGUACUUGACAUACAUUACAACAUAUCCAUAUUGAAAAUAGUAUAGUACAUGAAAGAAAUGAAAGGUAGCCAUAAAAGUAGGAUUCCUUAGUUACGAGCACAAGCAUACUUUUGUUUUCUUGGAAAAAUGCUUGCACACUUUUGUUGUAAGACCUAAGAUCGACGGGAAGAUUAAGGAAAUAUAUUUCGUAAAAAAAUAUGUUUAUUAUAUUUUGAUAACAAUGUACUUUUCGUCCCAACUUCUUGUAAAGUUUGCAAUAUUUUUUUAUCCUUUUCGUAUAGUUUUUGUCUCUCUACUAUUAAAAUCGAACACCAAUGAUGACAUGUCAUAGUUUGCCACAUCAAUUGACUACAGGGCUAAAAGAAAAAAAAUGUUGAUCUAACAGGCCGACAUGGAAAUUCAGGCAGCAUAAUCAUGACAAGUCGGCAUUAAGGGAGCGUUUGGAUUGCGUCCUGAACGUGGUAGCCUGGCCCGAGAGGCAGCCGGACGUGCGCAUGCGCUUGUUUGCUUGGCAUCCGCCCAGGCAGCUGCAGGCCUCCAAAAUUGAUGGGCUGAGCUCACCCUCGCUACCUGCCUGACCAAGUAGCUGUUUUUAUCAGGCAUUUUGUUCAGGACUCCAACCAAACAGGCCCUAAUACCAGUUUGGAUGUGGUGAUGAACUACUAGUGUCCGUUUAAAAAUCAAAAAACGGUUAAGAGAUCAUUUGCUUAUUUUCAACAAAUCGGCGGGGCCUAUCGGGCGAGUGGCCGGUCUUUGCUGUCGACGUGGGAUGGGCCUAGGCACGGUGCACAGACGACGAGUGAUCAGUCUCUGCCGUGGGUACCGCUGGGCGCAGCCACAGAGGAAUAUCCUGUCGUGCUCGUGCACAGAGGAAAACGCCCUUUUGGAUGCCUCUUGGACUCUUUGGUUGGUGGGAUCUGACGGAAAGAAAAGCGUCUCUUUCCGUGGUAUUUCUUCUGACGUUAAUCUCGGCCACAUGCGACCAUCUUGCCCGGACUCAAUCUGGGCUCGCGGCGGCCUGGACAUACAAAGUUUAACAUGUCAAGAUCGUUCACAAUUGGGGAAACCUUGUUCGAGGGUUCGACCAAGAUUGCUGUCAAGGCCUGAUGGAAGAGCCAGCCAUGGACGUGUCCAUCAAUCCAAGAGUACACACUAGACGGUAAGCAUAGCAAGUGCCCGAUCUGUACUUGUGUUAUUGCAAAAUAAUGGAGAGCAGGUAGUCCACAGAGGUUACCAUGGAGAACACCAUGCUGGGCUGUUGUAUUUAUUGUGCAACAUGAUCAAGUACAAUUGGCUUUUAUAUCCUGCUUGUUUGGCUCUCA
This is a long non-coding RNA of Brachypodium distachyon (stiff brome), 1547 nucleotides long. RefSeq lists it as uncharacterized. The transcript has 2 exons. NCBI's taxonomy places the organism in Eukaryota, Viridiplantae, Streptophyta, Magnoliopsida, Poales, Poaceae. The record is from RefSeq and is a predicted model, not a curated record.